Molecule: transfer RNA, 73 nt
Filed under: Fukomys damarensis (Damara mole-rat)
Lineage: Eukaryota; Metazoa; Chordata; Mammalia; Rodentia; Bathyergidae
Rfam family: tRNA
About the family: Transfer RNA (tRNA) molecules are approximately 80 nucleotides in length. Their secondary structure includes four short double-helical elements and three loops (D, anti-codon, and T loops). Further hydrogen bonds mediate the characteristic L-shaped molecular structure. tRNAs have two regions of fundamental functional importance: the anti-codon, which is responsible for specific mRNA codon recognition, and the 3' end, to which the tRNAs corresponding amino acid is attached (by aminoacyl-tRNA synthetases). tRNAs cope with the degeneracy of the genetic code in two manners: having more than one tRNA (with a specific anti-codon) for a particular amino acid; and 'wobble' base-pairing, i.e. permitting non-standard base-pairing at the 3rd anti-codon position.
Source: Rfam by way of RNAcentral
GGGGAUUUAGUUCAGUGGUGCCACCACCUGCCUCCUAAGCACAAGGUCCUGAGUUCGAUCCUCAGUACCCCCC